AAAGAAACUAACAAGGAUUCCCCUAGUAACGGCGAGUGAAGCGGGAAGAGCACAAAUUUAAAAUCUACCUGGUUUCCAGGUCGAGUUGUAAUUUGAAGAUACGUUUUUGAKGUUCUGGGUUGGACUAAAUCCUUUGGGAUAAGGUAUCAUAGAGGGUGAGAAUCCCGUAUAUACCAACCGUAGGGAUGUUAUUAAAUACGUUUCUAAGAGUCGAGUUGUUUGGGAAUGCAGCUCUAAAUGGGUGGUAAAUUUCACCUAAUGCUAAAUAUAAGCGAGAGACCGAUAGCGAACAAGUACAGUGAUGGAAAGAUGAAAAGAACUUUGAAAAGAGAGUUAAAUAGUACGUGAAAUUGUUGAAAGGGAAACGAUUGAAGUCAGUCAUGCCGGUGGGAAUCAACUUAGGGGAAACUCURGGUGCACUUCUUCGCUUGGCAGGUCAACGUCGAUUUUGAAUGUCAUAAAAUAAUUGGGGGAAGGUAGCUCCUUCGGGAGUGUUAUAGCCCUUGAUAGAUGUGAUGUUUGGGGUCGAGGAUUGCAACGGAUACCCUUUGGGGCUAGCCGCCUGAUCUCUAAUUGGUGUUGGGUUACGGAUAGCAUGCUGACCGUGAUCUAAUUACUGGUUAAAAGGUUAGAGYGUGCAUAAAUUCGUUAAGGA
RNAcentral lists this ribosomal RNA (655 nucleotides) under Gigaspora margarita. Its description in RNAcentral is "eukaryotic LSU rRNA". It matches the Rfam family "Eukaryotic large subunit ribosomal RNA", at positions 58 to 628 of the family's 3401-position model. Lineage: Eukaryota; Fungi; Glomeromycota; Glomeromycetes; Diversisporales; Gigasporaceae. The record is from RNAcentral.